RNAcentral lists this ribosomal RNA (254 nucleotides) under uncultured bacterium. Its description in RNAcentral is "partial 16S ribosomal RNA". It matches the Rfam family "Bacterial small subunit ribosomal RNA", at positions 524 to 776 of the family's 1533-position model. The record is from RNAcentral.
UACGUAGGGUCCAAGCGUUAUCCGGAAUCACUGGGCGUAAAGCGUACGUAGGCGGCGUGUUAAGUGAGAUGCGAAAUCUAACGGCUCAACCGUUUAGACUGUAUUUCAUACUGGCAUGCUUGAGGACAUGAGAGGCAAGUGGAAUUUGUAGUGUAGCAGUGAAAUGCGUAGAUAUUACAAGGAACACCAAUGGCGAAGGCAGCUUGCUGGCAUGUAUCUGACGCUGAGGUACGAAAGCGUGGGGAGCGAACAGG